This 94-nucleotide small RNA is filed under the name Chryseobacterium piscicola. Its description in RNAcentral is "Flavo-1 RNA". It matches the Rfam family "Flavo-1 RNA". Lineage: Bacteria; Pseudomonadati; Bacteroidota; Flavobacteriia; Flavobacteriales; Weeksellaceae. The record is from RNAcentral.
AACUAGCCCCGAUAGAAGCGGCAUCCUUUUUUGUUGCAGACGUAACGAAGUGGAGACUGUGACGAAAAAGAUACAGCGGAUAGCGGGAUUAAGC